Perkinsus marinus ATCC 50983 is the source of this 82-nucleotide non-coding RNA. The record is from Rfam. Lineage: Eukaryota; Perkinsozoa; Perkinsida; Perkinsidae.
GAGUGUUUGUCCGAGUGGUUAAGGAAGUGUACUUGAAAUUCAGCGGACACGGUCCGCGUAGGUUCGAAGCUCACAGCAUUCA